Molecule: ribosomal RNA, 253 nt
Filed under: uncultured bacterium
Lineage: Bacteria
Description: partial 16S ribosomal RNA
Rfam family: Bacterial small subunit ribosomal RNA
Source: RNAcentral
UACGUAGGGGGCGAGCGUUAUCAGGAUUCACUGGGUGUAAAGGGAGCGUAGACGGCCAAGCAAGCCAGGGGUGAAAGCCCGGGGCCCAACCCCGGGACUGCCCUUGGAACUGCAUGGCUGGAGUGCGGGAGGGGCAGGCGGAAUUCCUGGUGUAGCGGUGAAAUGCGUAGAUAUCAGGAGGAACACCGGCGGCGAAGGCGGCCUGCUGGACCGCGACUGACGUUGAGGCUCGAAAGCGUGGGGAGCGAACAGG